RNAcentral lists this ribosomal RNA (502 nucleotides) under uncultured bacterium. Its description in RNAcentral is "bacterial SSU rRNA". It matches the Rfam family "Bacterial small subunit ribosomal RNA", at positions 62 to 543 of the family's 1533-position model. The record is from RNAcentral.
UCGUACGCGAAAGGGGAGCAAUCCCUGAGUAGAGUGGCAAACGGGUGAGUAACACGUGGGUGACCUGCCUCAGAGUGGGGGAUAACGUCCCGAAAGGGACGCUAAUACCGCAUAACAUCCUGCCUUUGGAAAGGCGGAGAUCAAAGCCGGGGAUCGCAAGACCUGGCGCUUGGAGAGGGGCCCGCGUCUGAUUAGCUAGUUGGUAGGGUAAUGGCCUACCAAGGCGACGAUCAGUAUCCGGCCUGAGAGGGCGGACGGACACACUGGGACUGAGACACGGCCCAGACUCCUACGGGAGGCAGCAGUGGGGAACUGUUCGCAAUGGGCGCAAGCCUGACGACGCAACGCCGCGUGGAGGAUGAAGAUCUUCGGGUCGUAAACUCCUGUCGAGCGGGAAGAACACUUUCCGGGCGAAUAUCCCGGAAGGCUGACGGUACCGCUAAAGGAAGCCCCGGCUAACUCCGUGCCAGCAGCCGCGGUAAUACGGGGGGGGCAAGCGUUG